AUUGAACGCUGGCGGCAGGCUUAACACAUGCAAGUCGAGCGGUAACAGAGAGAAGCUUGCUUCUCUGCUGACGAGCGGCGGACGGGUGAGUAAUGCCUAGGGGUCUGCCUAGUAGUGGGGGAUAACUUGCCGAAAGGUAAGCUAAUACCGCAUACGUCCUACGGGAGAAAGGAGGGGACCUUCGGGCCUUUCGCUAUUAGAUGAGCCUAGGUCGGAUUAGUUAGUUGGUGAGGUAAUGGCUCACCAAGACCGCGAUCCGUAACUGGUCUGAGAGGAGGAUCAGUCACACUGGAACUGAGACACGGUCCAGACUCCUACGGGAGGCAGCAGUGGGGAAUAUUGGACAAUGGGGGGAACCCUGAUCCAGCCAUGCCGCGUGUGUGAAGAAGGUCUUAGGAUUGUAAAGCACUUUAAGUUGGGAGGAAGAGCAGUUAACUAAUAUUUGACUGUUUUGACGUUACCGACAGAAUAAGCACCGGCUAACUUCGUGCCAGCCGCCGCCGUAA
Molecule: ribosomal RNA, 506 nt
Filed under: uncultured bacterium
Lineage: Bacteria
Description: partial 16S ribosomal RNA
Rfam family: Bacterial small subunit ribosomal RNA
Source: RNAcentral